UUCAUGGAGAGUUUGAUCCUGGCUCAGGACGAACGCUGGCGGCGUGCCUAAUACAUGCAAGUCGAGCGGACCGACGGGAGCUUGCUCCCUUAGGUUAGCGGCGGACGGGUGAGUAACACGUGGGUAACCUGCCUGUAAGACUGGGAUAACUCCGGGAAACCGGGGCUAAUACCGGAUGCUUGAUUGAACCGCAUGGUUCAAUUAUAAAAGGUGGCUUCGGCUACCACUUACAGAUGGACCCGCGGCGCAUUAGCUAGUUGGUGAGGUAACGGCUCACCA
RNAcentral lists this ribosomal RNA (279 nucleotides) under Bacillus haynesii. Its description in RNAcentral is "partial 16S ribosomal RNA". It matches the Rfam family "Bacterial small subunit ribosomal RNA", at positions 1 to 270 of the family's 1533-position model. Lineage: Bacteria; Bacillati; Bacillota; Bacilli; Caryophanales; Bacillaceae. The record is from RNAcentral.